This 196-nucleotide small nuclear RNA is filed under the name Nicotiana attenuata. RNAcentral describes it as "snRNA U2". It matches the Rfam family "U2 spliceosomal RNA". Rfam says of the family: U2 is a small nuclear RNA (snRNA) component of the spliceosome (involved in pre-mRNA splicing). Complementary binding between U2 snRNA (in an area lying towards the 5' end but 3' to hairpin I) and the branchpoint sequence (BPS) of the intron results the bulging out of an unpaired adenosine, on the BPS, which initiates a nucleophilic attack at the intronic 5' splice site, thus starting the first of two transesterification reactions that mediate splicing. Lineage: Eukaryota; Viridiplantae; Streptophyta; Magnoliopsida; Solanales; Solanaceae. The record is from Rfam by way of RNAcentral.
AUACCUUUCUCGGCCUUUUGGCUAAGAUCAAGUGUAGUAUCUGUUCUUAUCAGUUUAAUAUCUGAUAUGUGGGCCAUCGGCUCACACGAUAUUAACUUAAUUUUUGAAGGGGAAGAGUCCAUUAAGGUAGCUUGCUGCCUGGGCUUUUGCGCGUCGCCCAUGCGUUGCACUACUGCACGGGCUUGGCGCACCCCAC